GAUGAACGCUGGCGGCGUGCCUAAUACAUGCAAGUCGAGCGAACAGACGAGGAGCUUGCUCCUCUGACGUUAGCGGCGGACGGGUGAGUAACACGUGGAUAACCUACCUAUAAGACUUGGAUAACUUCGGGAAACCGGAGCUAAUACCGGAUAAUAUAUUGAACCGCAUGGUUCAAUAGUGAAAGACGGUUUUGCUGUCACUUCUAGAUGGAUCCGCGCCGCAUUAGCUAGUUGGUAAGGUAACGGCUUACCAAGGCAACGAUGCGUAGCCGACCUGAGAGGGUGAUCGGCCACACGGGAACGGAGACACGGUCCAGACUCCUAAGGGAGGCAGCAGUAGGGAAUCUUGCGCAAUGGGCGAAAGCCUGACGGAGCAACGCCGCGUGAGUGAUGAAGGUCUUCGGAUCGUAAAACUCUGUUAUGAGGGAAGAACAAAUGUGUAAGUAACUAUGCACGUCUUGACGGUACCUAAUCAGAAAGCCACGGCUAACUACGUG
RNAcentral lists this ribosomal RNA (497 nucleotides) under uncultured bacterium. RNAcentral's name for it is "partial 16S ribosomal RNA". It matches the Rfam family "Bacterial small subunit ribosomal RNA", at positions 28 to 507 of the family's 1533-position model. The record is from RNAcentral.